AGGAGUUAUCUCCUAAUCAAAAUGAGAAGACGGGUUUGCUUACUACGUCAGAGACAACAUUUUCAUUUCCUAGUGCUGGUUACAUUUUGGCCGUCUACUAUUAUAACCGAGAUCAUUGAGUCUUCUUUGCAAUGUUCUGGUGGACAUUUGAAUUCCAGAGGCUUGUAAUUUAUUUUUUAUGAAAGAAUUAGUAGCAGUCCUAAACUCCUUUAUUACUUUCGACAAUGUUUUUUCACCACGAGGAGUCAAAAUUUUUUUUUUACCACAUUUAUCUUUUCUUUUCGGUGAACAGUUAUCACCCAAUCCAGUUUUUUGACAACUCUCUGUACUGAGGUAUGUGAAAUACCACAUUUUUUAGCAAUUUCACGCUGUGAAAGUGUUUUUUCAUUUAUCAAUGCUUUUAUAAAUCCAAUUUUUGUUGGUGAAAGAUCUCCUUUUUUACCCAUUACUAAAAAAUACAAGAUUUUUGAGGUUAGAGUUGUAACAUUAUCAAAA
Molecule: non-coding RNA, 495 nt
Organism: Hydra vulgaris (swiftwater hydra)
Lineage: Eukaryota; Metazoa; Cnidaria; Hydrozoa; Anthoathecata; Hydridae
Source: RefSeq, a predicted model, not a curated record